GGGCCGUUAGCUCAGUUGGUAGAGCAGCUGACUCUUAAUCAGCGGGUCCGGGGUUCGAGUCCCCGACGGCCCUCCA
Molecule: transfer RNA, 76 nt
Filed under: Alphaproteobacteria bacterium
Lineage: Bacteria; Pseudomonadati; Pseudomonadota; Alphaproteobacteria
Also listed under: 1 other name
Description: tRNA-Lys
Rfam family: tRNA
About the family: Transfer RNA (tRNA) molecules are approximately 80 nucleotides in length.
Source: RNAcentral